ACAAGCUUUUAUAGAACUCUGUUC
This 24-nucleotide non-coding RNA is filed under the name Cricetulus griseus (Chinese hamster). The record is from RNAcentral. Lineage: Eukaryota; Metazoa; Chordata; Mammalia; Rodentia; Cricetidae.